Molecule: ribosomal RNA, 480 nt
Filed under: Gratidiini sp. 1 SB-2021
Lineage: Eukaryota; Metazoa; Arthropoda; Insecta; Phasmatodea; Diapheromeridae
Description: partial large subunit ribosomal RNA
Rfam family: Bacterial large subunit ribosomal RNA
Source: RNAcentral
UUAUUUAAUGGCCGCGGUAUUUUGACCGUGCAAAGGUAGCAUAAUCAUUAGUCUAUUAAUUGUGGACUUGUAUGAAUGGUUGGACGAAAUAUUAUCUGUCUCAUUAAUAUUAAUAUAAUUUAAAUUUUUAGUUAAAAUGCUUAAAUUUUAUUAUAGGACGAGAAGACCCUAUAGAUCUUUAAUAUUUUAUUUAUAUUAUUUUUUGGUUUAUUUUUUUAAUUUAUAUAUGAUUUUUUGGUUGGGGUGACAUGAAGAAUAUAAUUUGAACUCUUUAUUUUAUUUUACAAUAAUUUUUGAUUUAUUGACCUUUUAUUAAUGUUAUAAGAAAAAGAUACCUUAGGGAUAACAGCGUAAUUCUUUUUGAGAGUUCAUAUCGACAAAGGAGAUUGCGACCUCGAUGUUGGAUUAAGAUUAUAAUUAGGUGUAGAUGUUUAAUUAUUAGGUCUGUUCGACCUUUAAAUUCUUACAUGAUCUGAGUCA